UACGGAGGGGGUUAGCGUUGUUCGGAAUUACUGGGCGUAAAGCGCGCGUAGGCGGACCAGAAAGUUGGGGGUGAAAUCCCGGGGCUCAACCCCGGAACGGCCUCCAAAACUCCUGGUCUUGAGUUCGAGAGAGGUGAGUGGAAUUCCGAGUGUAGAGGUGAAAUUCGUAGAUAUUCGGAGGAACACGAGUGGCGAAGGCGGCUCACUGGCUCGAUACUGACGCUGAGGUGCGAAAGUGUGGGGAGCAAACAGG
This 253-nucleotide ribosomal RNA is filed under the name uncultured bacterium. Its description in RNAcentral is "partial 16S ribosomal RNA". It matches the Rfam family "Bacterial small subunit ribosomal RNA", at positions 524 to 776 of the family's 1533-position model. The record is from RNAcentral.